GAUGAAGAACGUAGCGAAAUGCGAUACGUAAUGUGAAUUGCAGAAUUCAGUGAAUCAUCGAGUCUUUGAACGCACAUUGCGCCCCCUGGUAUUCCGGGGGGCAUGCCUGUCCGAGCGUCAUUGCUGCCCUCAAGCACGGCUUGUGUGUUGGGCCUCCGUCCUCCUCCCGGGGGACGGGCCCGAAAGGCAGCGGCGGCACCGCGUCCGGUCCUCGAGCGUAUGGGGCUUCGUCACCCGCUCUUGCAGGCCCGGCCGGCGCUUGCCGACACAUCAAUCUUUUUUCCAGGUUGACCUCGGAUCAGGUAGGGAUACCCGCUGAACUUAAGCAUAUCAAUAAGCGGAGGA
Molecule: unclassified non-coding RNA, 345 nt
Filed under: soil metagenome
Description: partial contains 5.8S ribosomal RNA, internal transcribed spacer 2, and large subunit ribosomal RNA
Rfam family: 5.8S ribosomal RNA (bases 1-120)
Source: RNAcentral